Triticum aestivum (bread wheat) is the source of this 689-nucleotide long non-coding RNA. RefSeq lists it as uncharacterized. Lineage: Eukaryota; Viridiplantae; Streptophyta; Magnoliopsida; Poales; Poaceae. The record is from RefSeq and is a predicted model, not a curated record. The transcript has 3 exons.
GAACUCUCCAUUUUCUUUAGAAUACUCCGUCGUUCUGCGCCGCCGACGCAUGUAUUUCUGCUGCUCAUUCUUAUAGCGGCCGUCGGCGACUAGCAUGUGCGUAUCAACCGAGCAGGUGCACACCAUCUAUGCUCCUCAGUCUUGUAGCGAUCGUCGGCGACUAGUGUGUGUACGUCAACCGAGCAGGUGCACACCGUCUCCAUCAGACUGGGCAACGAGACGACGGCCUCCAUGUUUCUCUGUGUUAUAGGCCACUGGCAACAUACAUCAAUCCCCGUCAGCGAGGUGAAUAUGGGUCACCCACUGCCACCCCAACUUAAUCACACUCCAGCACCCCAGAAGACCUUCCAUCGGUGGCGUAGGCAUCCACUUCCUCAUGCACCUCAAUUUGAUGGAUGGAUCGAGUUAAAUGGUCAACCAAUUAUCGCCUCCAAGCCGGUUAUCAACAACAACACGGAACUAGGACCUCUCAUCGACGUGUGAUGCAUGGCCGAUGGUGGCCUCAUGGUGAAGAUGUAUUCCGAUAUAUACUUCGUCAAAUCAUUAUACUCGUAUAGGAAAGUAUACGCACUGGUGGCACGCUUUUUUACUUACAAGAAUAUUUGAUGGAUACAUACUCUAUUCUUGUGGAUGUCUACUUUCUGGAUAUACUCCAUUAUGAAGGAUAAUGUUGUUUUAAAGUUAGUGUA